This is a small nuclear RNA of Sorex araneus (European shrew), 109 nucleotides long. The record is from Ensembl. NCBI's taxonomy places the organism in Eukaryota, Metazoa, Chordata, Mammalia, Eulipotyphla, Soricidae.
CUGCUCACUUCAGCAGUACAAAUGCUAAAAAUUGGAGCAAUACAGAGAAGAUUAGCAUGCCCCCCCACACAAAGAUGACAUGCAAAUUUAUCAAGGAUUCCAUAAUUUU